Molecule: non-coding RNA, 407 nt
Organism: Neolamprologus brichardi
Lineage: Eukaryota; Metazoa; Chordata; Actinopteri; Cichliformes; Cichlidae
Source: RefSeq, a predicted model, not a curated record
CUCCAACUCUUCACAGCCGAUUGCCACAUAAAGUUCUUUGGCAAGACAAAGGUGGAGAAACCUCUCUCCUACUUGAAAGAGAUGUAAACAAACUCAAAACAGAACACCCAGAAAGCAGCAGGACCAGGCUCAGUGUCUCCAUCCACCCUGAAGCCCUGUGCUGAUCAGAGACAUGUCAUAUGCCAGCCUGCCUCCACAGGACUUAUCAUUACUGUUCCAUUUUUUUUAAAAAAGGGAUCACAAGCCGACCUGUUGCUCUGACCUCUGUAGUCAUGAAGAGUUUGACCGUCUGGUACUAUCACAUCUAAAAUCUAUCACUGUCCCCCUCCUGGACCCCCUGCAGUUCGCCUACAGAACCAACAGGAAAAGCUCUCCCAGCUGAAUGUAUCUGCUUCCACCUGCAGGUG